UACGAAGGGGGCUAGCGUUGUUCGGAAUUACUGGGCGUAAAGCGCGCGCAGGCGGUCUUCCAAGUCAGUGGUGAGAGCCCGGAGCUCAACUCCGGAAAUGCCAUUGAAACUGUGAGACUGGAGUACGAGAGAGGUGAGUGGAAUUCCCAGUGUAGAGGUGAAAUUCGUAGAUAUUGGGAAGAACACCGGUGGCGAAGGCGGCUCUCUGGACCGAUACUGACGCUGAGGCGCGAAAGCGUGGGGAGCAAACAGG
This 253-nucleotide ribosomal RNA is filed under the name uncultured bacterium. RNAcentral describes it as "partial 16S ribosomal RNA". It matches the Rfam family "Bacterial small subunit ribosomal RNA", at positions 524 to 776 of the family's 1533-position model. The record is from RNAcentral.